This 88-nucleotide non-coding RNA is filed under the name Pasteurellaceae bacterium. Its description in RNAcentral is "TPP sequence". It matches the Rfam family "TPP riboswitch aptamer (THI element)". Rfam says of the family: Vitamin B(1) in its active form thiamin pyrophosphate (TPP) is an essential coenzyme that is synthesised by coupling of pyrimidine and thiazole moieties in bacteria. The previously detected thiamin-regulatory element, thi box was extended, resulting in a new, highly conserved RNA secondary structure, the THI element, which is widely distributed in eubacteria and also occurs in some archaea. Lineage: Bacteria; Pseudomonadati; Pseudomonadota; Gammaproteobacteria; Pasteurellales; Pasteurellaceae. The record is from RNAcentral.
UUCGGUUAGUCGGGGUGCAAAAUCGCUGAGAAAUACCCGUGAACCUGAAGCAGUUAGCACUGACGUAGGAAACUAAUCUUCUCUUCCU